AAGCGGGUUUAUCAAAGAAGAAUCCCGGCGGGAGUCGGUUCGGUGUAUCCUAAUCCGCUUCCGACAGCCGACGGUCAAGUGAUGUUGCGUAAUUAGUCCGACUCUUUUGGUGUGUUUUUUUUUUGUAAUUACAAAAGCUUCGACAUCC
Non-coding RNA from Caenorhabditis elegans, 148 nucleotides. NCBI's taxonomy places the organism in Eukaryota, Metazoa, Nematoda, Chromadorea, Rhabditida, Rhabditidae. The record is from Ensembl.